This 554-nucleotide long non-coding RNA is filed under the name Mus spicilegus (steppe mouse). RNAcentral's name for it is "lncRNA (ENSMSIG00000007154.1)". The record is from RNAcentral. Lineage: Eukaryota; Metazoa; Chordata; Mammalia; Rodentia; Muridae.
GUGGUUUCCUCCUCCCCAACAGUGACAUCAAUGUUCAACUACAUGUUCAACUGUGUUAGCAUUUUAACUGCCUCCCCCUCCAGUGACUACAUGUCUCAUGACAGUAAGAGCUACACCAGUCUUACAUGCUAGGAAAGGAGAAAGUGUCCACUUACUUAGCCACUGGAUUCAUUUAAGGGAUCAUCAGCCCCCAGAACAGCUGAGAUUGCAGGACUACAAAAUCCAAGACAGGAGGUAAAAACAGUAUCAUCUAGGGAUCCAAACAUAUUGCAACAUUUACUAUCUUAGCAUCCCCAAGAGCUGAGCCUGGAAAGCAGCAAGUAUCCAGUGUCAGUUCUUUUGCAUUCCAUCCUGUUAUCUACCACAAGCACACUGCCUUCACUGGAAUACACGCCGCAGUUCUCACCAAGCUAGUCACCUGACAGCCAGACUCUAUUCUGCUGACACACGUUAUGUACUAAAAAGUAAAUUCUAGAAGAAUCUUUUAACUGCAAGUGAAAGUGAAUUAACUUAUCUCUACCUUAAAUAAAAUAUUAUGAUUGAAUGCUAUGGGG